This 21-nucleotide microRNA is filed under the name Prunus persica (peach). RNAcentral's name for it is "microRNA miRNA_281". The record is from RNAcentral. Lineage: Eukaryota; Viridiplantae; Streptophyta; Magnoliopsida; Rosales; Rosaceae.
UAUAAAGAGAUGUACUGGACC